UGAUUUUCAAGCAUAAUCAUGUCACGCUGAAUAGAAUGUAUCGAUCCACGCAUAGCAAACACAGGAUCAUUUGGAGAGUAGCCAAUCUGCUGGAAUCCCUCUGCAGCGCCACGAAACAGGUCAAGAAUGAAGCAUCCAUCAAGCACCAUCAUUUCCACAAACUCAUUGCUACUAAGAUUAAUCUUCCCUUCAUAACAAGCCCGAGUUCUCUCUUCAAGUUCCUUCAUAGAAUCAAGAUAGAAUUUAACAUCCUGAUUAGUACGCUUCAAGACCUGGUACAAAGACCGCCACUUGUGGCGAUCCAUGUUCCUAUGACGCCUCCUGCCAUGGUGAUAAGGCCCCAAUGACACAAUUUGAGGAAUAUAAGCCUUAUUAUCACCUCCCUUCAAAUACUGAGGGACUUUGUAAAUGGAAACUUUCCCCCAGGAACUACCCAAAUCUUCUUGCCUAGCUUGUUCAAGCUUUUCACCGAUAUUGAUCACCCAUUCAGAGACCUCUGGCCUAGGCCCUGGUUCAAAAACAACAGCCUCCCGUGUGGCCGAUGUCUCGACGUGAUGUUCGAGAAGGUAUGCUUGCUCUGAUCGGUACAGCGCUGAAGCUUGUGGCGUAGAAACUCCAGAUUCUACAGUUUCUUUGAGUUUCAGAGUGAGUAGGUACCAGCUUAAGAGUUCUUUGUUGAAAACUGCCACCAUUUUUAUUUUUUUUUGAAAGCUUUAAUGCAGGGGGGCUCUCAGGUCUGGUUGGUUAAUUGCAGCUGGUUGUGGUGAAGCAACUGAAAAACCGUAAAAGAAUUUAUAAAAUUUGCAAGCAUGCAAACAAAGAAUUUGUGGCCAAGCAAGGGGUAGUUGAAAUGGACCUCAAAUAAUUUGUGAUUGGACAGUAUAUAUAACCAACUGUAUAGGAGUAUCAUUUUCACAUGUAGCCGACUGUGUCUGAGCUAAGCUUCUCAGAAAUGCAUGGUCUCUCUUUUAUGCACAUACUGAAUUAUGGAAGAACCGACUUCUCACUGAACAUAAAACAGUACGGCUUCACAUGUUAUGAUUUACGACUCUUAACAGAUAAGAUGUGUUUCUGACUAACCAAUUACUUAUGUCAAAUAUUAUAUGAUAUUUAUUAUAUGAUAUAAAAGCUUAUGACAGCCAAGUUUCAUUUUGACUUCGGCUAUUUGUUCUUGCGACUGGUUAUUAGUGUCAAAUAUUGCGGACAAAUAAAAUUGCAAUGAAUCCAUUCUGGAUUGUACAACUUGACCCACGAUACCCAACUUCACAUUCUAAUUUUUACUCAUCUUUUUCACUCUCUCAUCUUAUUUUAUUCUCUCUCCCAACCUAUCUCCUAAAUUUCUAUUCAAAACAAAUUUAUUUUUUUAGAAAAGAAUAAUUUAUUAAAUAGAAAAAAUAUCCGAAUACAAAGACUCUAACACAUCCCGAGGAGGAGGAGAGGUAAAAAUUAUAAUGUUUUUUUUUUUGAAAAGCAGGACUUUUAUUAGUAAAACCCAACUCCAACAAGAGAAGGGAGUGGACCUUGAGAAACAAAAAAUUAUAAUGUGUGAUGUUUAUAUUUCAUAACAAUAUUAUUUUAUUUUUAAAAUAUAGUUACUAUAAUUAUAUUAUUAUUUCAAGUUUUUAUUUUAUAUUUUAAAAUUACUUAAUUAAUUUAAAUUUCCAUAUGGACAUCUCAAUAAUUUUUAAAAAGUUUUAAAUUUAAUGAUUAAAACAAUAUUAAUAACUUAUUUUUGAAUUUAUAAAUAAAGAUUUUUAAUUUAUUGUUUUUUUUUUGAAGAUAUUUUUAAAUUAUUGUUAUUACAUUAAUUUCUAGUGAACCAUCAAAUGCGAUUUUUGAGUGAGUAGCUUCUCAGUAGUUAGUCAAUUUCAAACAUUUUUUCAAAAAAUCCAUUAGCUUUUCAGUGUAUUAUCACUUCAAACUGAUUUAUUUUCUACAAUCCAAUUAAUUAUUUUUAUCUAUUUUCUAAACUGAUAUAAUAGGAGUAAUCUUUAACAUCUGGUAUAAUUACAUUAUCUUAAUCGGUUUUUCUAUGGUGUGUCCAUGGGCACAUGCUAAGCGCAGAAAUUUUUGUGCUUAGAUCAUUUUGAUUGGCUCCUACUUCUUAAUAAUGGUGGACCCCCUGCAAAUGCACCAACCACACCAAUCAAAAUGCUUCAAAUGCAAAAAUUUUCGCGCUUAGCAUGUGCCCAUGGGCAGACAAACCCUGUCUCAGUACAUGCCAAAAUCUCUCAUGGAUAAAUUAGUUUCAAUUACCUAUUUCCAUUGUGGGUCCGUUUGGCUUGGUCAAACAGCAUCACACCCCUACAAAUUCGUGGCUAUGGGUUUUUUCAUUCUUAAUCGGAUGUCCCCCAAGGGACCUUUGUGGCUGUUGUUGCGACUGCAAUGCAAGCAGCACCAGUCAUUUUUAAGGAUCCGUGGUAGCCGUUAAUUAAAAAUGACAUGUGAAAUUUAUACUCAUACAGUCAUAUAUAGCGAGAAUCUUUAGAAUGGAAAACGGGCAUAUCGGCAGAUUCCCUGUCGCGCCUCAACCUUUACCAUCAUUCCCUCUUCUCUUUUUGGACAAUUCUUGCAAAUCUAUAAUGAAACAAGACUUUUGAGCCAACAAUGAAAAAGCUAUGCCUCGGUGGCUCAAAUCGGCAGGCUAUAAGAGGAAUUUGUGUAGGAUUCCACUAACAAAGGGACUGAUUUUUCCCCCCUCCCGACAUAUUUGGUAAUAAUACAACUCAACAACUAUCAUCUAUAAUUUCUGUUAAUUAUAUAAUUAUGAAUUUUAGAGUUUGUAUGAUUUUAAUGUUUUUUUUUUCGAAAAUUUUUUGAACAUACGUUGUAACUAUAAUAAAAUCAAAUACAAUUGUUUGAAAAGAUAAUUAUUUUUUACUGGUUUAGACUCUAAAUUUUUGAGUUCAAUUUUGACUCGGAUUAUUUUAUGUUUAUGAUAUCUGCAAGAACACCAUCUUAUCUAAAAUUAUUUGAAUAAUAAUUUUUCUUUAAAUUGCAUUUGUGAUUGUCAUUUCCAGCAACUUAUAUACAGUUGCAAAAGCUGUAUAGAGUAAUUUAUGAAAAAUGUUUAAAAAAUAAUACUUUUGUAAUUCUUAUACAAUUUAUAUUUUUUGCAAAUUUUUAUAAAGUUACAAUAUUUUUACAAAACCAUUUCCGGAUUUAGAUAUUUGUGAACAAAUCCCAUUAUAUAAAUAUUCGUUGUGUUUUAAAAACUAUUAUGUAUUUAUUCAAUUUAUAUACGGACUAAUAUUUGUCCACAUAAAUUUUAAUAAAUAAUAAUAAUAAUAAUAAAUAGUAAUAGUAAUCAAUUUGAAGAUAGAAAUUAAUAUUUAUUGUCUUCUAAAAUUAUUCUACCUUUACUCAAUUUAAGCCUGAAUGAAUAUAUUUGUCCAUGUGACUUUUGAAAUAUAAAUGCCAACGCUAAAUAGUCUAAUCAAUUUUGAGUAUUUUUUCAAUUUUAAUAUAUAUCUCUCAAUCUCAAUAUAUUAUUAAUAUAGUAUUAGAUACAACCUAUUUUAACCUUUGAAAAGUCAAAAGAUAAUUCAUAUCAACAAUUUAGGAUUCUCGACAAAAAAAAUUGAAAUUUAAUUGUACAUACAUAUCCUACUCGACUACAAUCGUUAAAAUAAAAUAAAGUUUUGAAAACACAUCUUCAGAAUUUAACUAUGAUGCUCAACUAUAAACGUUAAAAUAAAACCAAAUUUUGAAACACAUUUCACAAUUUAACCAUGGGUGCUAUAUGUGUAAUUGUAGCCAAUGUGUAAAAUAUUACUCAUAUUUGACGUAGAAAGAGCAUCUUUAAAAGAUUAAAAAUCGUUAAUUUAAGUGUCAUUUCAAAAGUUAUCUACAUUAGUUUUCUUUUUUUGAUAACAUGUAAAAGGGAUUGUACUCCAACCAUCAUCUAUUAACAAUUAUAUUUUAUAAUUAUAAUCUAUUUAGAUAAACAUUGAAGCUCAUAAAUUAUGUGGGUGUUUGGGAGAGUGGUUUAUGGGCUUAAAAACCUGUAAAACCUACUUCUGCUUUUGCUCCGUCCGAUUGACAAAUCUCACGAAGCGCUUUAUUAAGCGAAAAAAAGCCCAGAAAAAAAAAGUUAGGAAAUCUAAUUUUUUUUCAAGACUCAACUUGUGCUUCUUUCUUUUUGACAGAAAACGACUUCAGCGGCGACUUUUCUUUCAACGGCGACAACGAGCUAUUACCCUGUCUCUUCUUCUCGUAGCUGUUUUUCAAGUAACAAAAUCACUGAUGGUAAUCGAUUCAGCUUUCCUUCCCAUCCAAACAACGGUAAUGAAUUGCUACACACUCUUUGUCGAUCUGCAGCUUCAAUUCUAGACAUUUUUUGAUUCAAUCUGUAUGUAUAUACUUGUAAAUGUCGGGAUCGUUUGAGUGGACGGAAGAAAUUCACACCCUUUUUGUUGAGCUAUGCGCCAGUGAAGUCGUUAAGGAAAAUCGGGUUGGGAUUACCCUAAACAAAGAAGGCUGGAGCAAUGUUGAGCAAGGACUCCACACACAAUUGAAAGUGGUGUGUACAUAAACAGAUGAAGAAUCACUGGGAGAAAAUGAAAGGGGAUUUUGAGAUCUUCAAAAAACUCAAAUUCGGUGAAAGUGGCCUUGGAUGGAAUGAGAUGAAGAAGACGAUUGAAGCACCUGAAUCAUGGUGGACACAUGUUAUGUAGAUUUGCAAUUAAUUUUUUGUGUGUUGGUUGGGUUUUUUGUUGUGAUUUAUUUCUACAUCCAAUCGGAAAUAAAUAUUAUCUUGUUGAUGCAGGUUAUGCACAUAAAAAAAGAUAUAUGACUUCGUAAAAGGGUACAAAAAUAAGAUACUAUCAUUUACAAGAUUUUCGUCGCGUUAAUAGUACUACACCUGAACCGUGAAACGCAAAAAAGAAAUAUAAUCAUUUACAUUCAUUGUGGAGAAUGGUUAUCAAACAGACAUUCGGAGUGUGGAAAGCUACAUUUGUUAUUUUAGCAAAUAUGCCAAUUUAUACAAUAAAUACGCAAACAGAUAUCGUUCUGGCUACAAUGACAGUUCAUAAUUAUAUCAGGAAAUCAAAUGUUGCAGAUAACUAUUUUCAAACUGCUGAACAAGAAACUUAUAUGCCGGAAAAUUGAAUUUCAAGCACCAAUAUUAAUCGUGGAGAAUCCAGCAACGAAAGCAAUAACGAUGAAAUUUGAAAUGCAAAACGUGAUGAAAUUGCCGGUGUUAUUAAAUAAAUGAUGCACCUUUUUACUUGUAUUAUUUGCAGUUGCUAAUUUUUUUCUUUUAUUGCAAGAGUGAAAAUUUUACACUUGUAAAAUAUUUCAUGUAUUAACAAUAAAAGAUUUUUUAUAAUUAUAAUUUAUUUUUUUUAAAAAAAUAAAUUAUUAUAUUACAAAAUUACCAAACUAAUACCAACUUAUAAGUUAAGUAUCCAAACACUUGAAAACUUCCGAUAUCUUAUAAGUCACGGUAUCCAAACAAUUAUGGUAGCUUAUAAGUCCAAACCAACUUCUUACUUUUAAUCUAUUUUUUUAUUUUAAACAAUAAGUUAUUUCUUUUAAAUUCAGCCAAACGGUCCCUAUAUCACCCUUCGAUAUGCUCAAAGUCAAUUAUAAUGCAUUUCUGAGUUUAUCCUAUAUUUGAAUGUAAGGGAAACUAUUCAAUUGAAUAGUAAGGCCUUUUUUACUGUAGUAUUUUCCGAAUACAGACAAAUACAUAUUCAUACAAUUAUAUUAUUGCUCGAGUGAAAGAAAUUUAACUUCUCCGUGAGAUUUUUAAAUCUAUGGAAAUUUUUGUUCCUUAAAUCUGUUUGCGGCAUGGGUGUCGUGUUAUUGAAGUAGAAGACGAAACCAUUCCAUUAAACUUACAAAGGUGAAAACCCCACCAUUUAUAUAUUAUAUAAUUUUAUUAAAAAGUGACCAAUAUUUUUCUCUAAUUUGGUGGAUUUAUUUAAUUUUCUUUGCUGGAGUUGAGCGUUGACCCACUCUCUGAUUGGCAAUUCGGAAGGCCAUAUUAUGACAUUUUUCAUUUUUCUGGUUUAACCUAUGAAGGCCAUAUUCGAAAGUAGGUGAAUAUAAAGUGAAGACUUUGCCAUGUCUGUUUUCAUUGUAACGCUACACAAAUGCUUAGAUAACUGCUAACAGAAAACAUGAAAAGUAAUUUCAAGUUUGAAUCACAGUUGAUCAACAACAAGUUAGACAGUGCAAGCAUACUAAGCUCAUAUCACCGACGAAAGCUUGCAUUCAUUACUACAGAAUGUGGAGUAAGGGUCCACGCUAAAACUAGGUCCAUUUUAUAAGAGCAAGUAACUUAGAGGAAGUGUUCACUAUUAGAUUGCUGCAAAACCAAUUAGACAAAUCAGCUUGUAAAGUAACCUUCCAAGUAACCAAUGCAAUACACAUACAGUCUAAUAAACGUUCAAACCAUUCAACAUCUUUACAUUUCAUACUCACUAAACACAUUCAACAUAGAAAUAGCUCCAGUGAUAUGUUUAUUUGUGGCUCAAAAGGCGAAAAUAACAGGGUUGCUGGUUUCAACUUGGAUGGUAAUAACCGAACACGCCAUAGAUGGUUUGUGCAAACGUAAGAAUCAGCAGAACCACGGCUGCAACAAAUGAGAUGAUUGCCCAGGGAUUGUUAAAAUAGUUGUGCUUUAAGGUUGCCUGCCAGGCGUUCCACCUGUGGUCAUGAUACUUGUUGAUCUCCGCUGACAAGCGCGAAUGAUAACUGUCAUUGAUGUCGAAAACGACCUCUUGACACAGCUUGUUAAAGAGUUCAGCAACUUCGUGAUCACUACCAAGCCAAUGCUCAAUGAUCCCACAAUAAUGAAGGUAACCUACAUCUUCGGUCGAGUUGAUCAUAUUGUUCAUGAAGAUCACAUAUGAUGUUAUUUCAUUGCCACAAUCCAGAUGACACUGCUCGAAUGCUAUGAGGUUGAGAAAAAGUGACUUGGUACCAUCAUGAAUCAAGAGCCUGGGAAUCUGAAGCAGCCCAUUACUGAAUGUUAUAUCCCAGAAGCGAUCUGUCUUCUUCUUCUUAAACUUGACUCCAGAUUCUCUCAGCUCUGUUACACAAUGUGUCAACUGCUGCCUGCGUUUAUCUGCGACUCGACAAACAUGAGACCAUUGCUUCUUCCAAACCUGUGGAAGUGGUGAAGGCCCUCUACGCAGCAAACUCUGCCUGAAAACAUCCAGACAGUGAAGGCCUUGAUCAGAUAAAGGGUCAAAUGUGUUUGUAUAUCCUACUGAAUGUUCCAUUUUGUUCCUAUUACUCUUUGUCAAAGGCUCAUCCGUCGGCAUUAGUGGAUCGAAAAAACUAAGGGCGAGCCUGGCAACAAGCCCUUUCUGAUCAGGAUGACCCAACUGAAGGCCUAAUAACCGAUCAAGAACGAAAAGGGGAAUCUGAUUUUCAAGCAUAAUCAUAUCGCGCUGAAUUGAAUGCAUUGAUCCACGCAUAGCAAACACAGGGUCAUUUCGAGAGUACCCAAUCUGCUGGAAUCCCUCUGAAGCGCCACGAAACAGGUCAAGAAUGAAGCAUCCAUCAAGCACCAUCAUUUCCACAAACUCAUUGCUACUAAGAUUAAUCUUCCCUUCAUAACAAGCCCGAGUCCUCUCUUCAAGUUCCUUCAUAGAAUCCAAAUACAGUUUUAAAUCCUGAUUAGUACGCU
RNAcentral lists this long non-coding RNA (7645 nucleotides) under Daucus carota (carrot). RNAcentral describes it as "long non-coding RNA (DCAR_LNC002207)". The record is from RNAcentral. Lineage: Eukaryota; Viridiplantae; Streptophyta; Magnoliopsida; Apiales; Apiaceae.